GUUCCUGUAGCUUAAACUCUAAAGCAUAACACUGAAAAUGUUAACAUGGGCAACCAAGCCCCAAGCAACA
Molecule: transfer RNA, 70 nt
Filed under: Caiman crocodilus (spectacled caiman)
Lineage: Eukaryota; Metazoa; Chordata; Crocodylia; Alligatoridae
Also listed under: 1 other name
Description: transfer RNA-Phe
Source: RNAcentral